CUGGACUUAGUAAGGAAGGGGGAGAAGAUCAUGCUUACUUGCUACAUCCCCCUUUUAUUCCUGAUGAGGAUGGUUGGUGUUAGGGAAGGAGGUUGGGAUCCACCUGGGUGCUUGCAUGUGCAAGCAGAAGCAGGUUUUUGGAAGCACUCUGGUAUCAUGGAGCUCCAUAAGAAACCAACUUAGAGAGCACAUCUCUGAGGAUGGGAAAUGAAAUAAGUGACUCUUUCAACAAGAAUUACAUAUUACUGUAGCUUUGGCAUUAUCAAGAUCUAGUUUAUCAGGCCUCACUGGCCCUUUGCAGAGGAUGAAGCUGAUACGGUACAGCGCUGCUUCACCUGGACACCAUGCCAUGCCUCCACCUGCCGCACGCCCAGCCGCUCAGACGUCUGAUCCUUCAUCAACAGGCACAGCAGUGUGCGGUGAUGGGGAACGUGACUCCAACAUAUUUUGCAGGUAUCGUCCUCUAAACAGCACUGUCUGGUUUCACUUCCAAGAAAUUAGACCAAAUUGAAUUGUUUUGCACUGAGUUGCAGUGAGGCAGUACUGUCAGUUUAAUUAGCUCUUAACUCCAAGCUCGAAGCUUCUAAUAAAGGUGCUUGGGAGUGUAUGGGUAACGGAAAGAAAACAAAUGAUGGCAGAGCUGUUUCUAAUGAGGAUGAAGCAGCAUUCUUCAGAAAGGAUUGGUGUAGGGAGAACAUCUCAGCCCUUCACCAAGCUCACAAUCAGCUGUGUGAUCUGGAGCAUAGGGAGUGGGGAAAUCAGCUGGAAAAUGUUACACGUUGUGUUGGGCCUCGCACAAACAAAUGUAGGGGUAAAAUGUCCCCUGCACAAAAGAUCAGCAUAGGCAGGACCACAUCAUAAGCUUUACUUUUCAGUGUUGUUAGCGGAUUUAGGCAACACAGACCCUAUGUUGGCCCAUUAAACCAUGUCAGAUGGAAUCUUUAACAAUUUUAAAGGAAAGAUUCCUAGAGACAUGUCAUGUAUAAAGACAAAUCUCUCAGGAGGGAUUGAAUUUGCAGAAGAGGAAUUGACUGCAAACACCAAAUUCACAGUUGCUUACGUACUGACCAGAGCCCACAGGCUGUUCGAGCCUGCACAGAUGGGAAUGGAGGUGAGAGUUUGUCUCUGACAGCACCGCUGCUGUCAGGGUUUUUUCACAUAUAAAGUCAAUCUGAACCGCAAGCAGUGGGACUGGAGCAGCCUUCAGAGGCUCUGAAAUCCCCAUUCACUCCUGUAUUAACGAACUGCUCUUAUUCUAUUUUUGCCUCUCUGCAUUCUCACCGCAGGGAAUGGGUGAGGUAUAUGCAGCUAACUGGAUCACCCGUGCAGAUGUCAGAAGAGGGUUGAUAGUUUGUAAUAUUUAUUUGACUUAUUUUGUACAUUAUCUCCCUUCUGCCACAUGAAAUUCAACUUUAGAAACCAGUAACUUCCCUGGAAAUAAGUCUUCAUAGCAAACCCUUCUCUGAACAGUUUUGGGGCUGUAGCUUAUGGUAAGUAGCUCAUUGACAGCAUUUGGUACUCAAGUUUAUAACUGCUUUUAUUGGGCCUUUCAGUCUUGGGAAAUACUAUGACGCUCUCACUAGAGGGCCAGCAAAUGCAUAAAUCAGAUGUUUACUAUGGUGAAUCAGCCAUUAUGACUUUUUAAAACUUUGCUUUCUGAAAGUAUUUGCUCUCUUUGCUUGAAACAUAUUGUUUGCAACAACACAUUUGCUAAGAAGUUGGCAGAAAAAAAAAGCAAAGACAAAACAGAUACAAAGGAGGAAAUGUUUCAAAAUAAGAGACUCAUUCUUCUAAAAACAUUUGUAUGUUUUUUUUAAGUCUCCAAAUAUGAGCAAUUUUUUUGUUUAUACUGAGACAGACUUGAAACUCAACUAGACUUGACAUGAAUUGGUAAGAAAGCCCUCCUAAAAUCUGCCAGUAGAGGAGAAACAACAUGUUCCUGUAUCCAAAACAUUCAGAGGGGAAUUAUGCAAAGAGAUUACUCAUCACUGGAGCAAAGUCAUGAUUUCAAGUUCCCAGCAGUGAUUUACAUCAGGGACGCACCACCAACCUCUCUCCCUUGUGCAAUAGGAAAGGCUUUUGCCUCCCCUGCUGCUGAUGAUGGCUGAGCCUGGCCUCACCUGCCCCGACCCCUGGUGAACAUGAACAUCUCUGAAUCGCCACAGCACAGAGCCGACAUGAGCCUGCUCCAGCAAUACCCGCUCAGGCAGGUGGCCAGCAAGGUAUUGAACCUUGAAUUAGGAGAGAACGGAUCCAAACGUUCACCUCUCAGCUGUGACUUCAGCUGACCGCUUGCAUGGCAACUUCUAUUUUGAGGGAUGGGAGUAUCUGAAACACAGCCUGAGUUCCUACGUAAAUGGAGCUGGUUCAGGAUUGCUGCCUGUCACAAAGGUAUGGUGAACUUUCAAACGCUGACUGCAUCCAUUCAAGGAACACACAAUGUAGGCUGUAAUUAAACAAACAAAAAGAAUUUACCUUUGUGGUUGCAGAGAAAAGUCUGCAAAUGAGGUGGUGUGGUAUGUGGAUGGCUGAGAAACUGAGAAAUGUGAAAAAAGUGAAACAAAAAGAACCAGAGGCUGUGUUAGUCUUAAAAAUUUCAUAACUUCAAAAGAAAUUUUGGGAUGGUCAAAUCCUUGAAGCAGAGGUUAGCAACUCUGCUUGUUUGUCUGUCCGGCUCUUGGUAUUGGCAGCAAGCUCGCAAAGUUGUACAUAAGUUUAGAAAAAAAAGAAACAAAUCAUAACUUAGUAUGUUUCACAGCUUCUAUCAAUUAUUUCUGAGUGUGUAAACAAGCCAUAAAGGAGUUACAGUUCCUACUCGGGUGAUGCACUUUCUGUGCUCUGCAGCUGGAACAGCUUCACCGUGCUGCUCUGUGACCCAGCCGACCCACAUGCUAUCUGGGGUGUUUCACAUCUGUGGCCUCCUGGCUCAGUUUAACUGCUGGUGCACAGCCCUGCAGGCUGCUCAGGGAGUCCCCUUCUGCCUCCUGAUCCUGGUGGAGGGCACAUUUUAGGCCCUGGCUUUCUUUUGUCCCUGCUCUGACCCAAGGAGCAGCCUAGGAUCUAUGGGGGGCACCUUGUGGGCAUGAAUGCUCAGUUGAGGAAAUCAGAGAGUAGAAACCAUUCAGGAGGGAGAUAAGAAAAAAAUAAAUUGCUUUGGCACUCCUCAUCUGCCCCAGCAGGCUGGCAGGAGGUCCCCGUGGUCAGGGAUGUGCUUCCUUGGGAAUGUGCUGAGCUCUGCGAACCUUGUUCCUGCGUGCCAAAGGCAGGGGGCCCAGGGCAAGAGAAGGGCAGGUGAGGUACAGAAACCAGGACUGAGGAAGGAAGCAUUUGGCCUUGGAGACUCCUCUGGUUUGGUUCUUUGGUUUUCUCCUGCCUUGGACAAGCAUUUCUGAACAUAGGUGUGGGGCUGGCAACAGGCCGCAGAGGGGCGAGAGGCUUUCUGCACAAACCCCAUAUGGGAUUGGGAUGGCAAACGUGUUUCUCUUGCAUUGUUGCAAUGGGUUGUUUUGUCUGCUUUUUGGGAAACAGCAGGGGCCUUCUUUUCCCCAAUUAUGUGAAUAAUUAGAUUUGUUUCAGUAUUUACAAGCGAUUGCUAAACACUGGAGUUUCAAGAAAGCUGGGAGAGCCAGCUCUCUUGGGGCUCAUGCUGAGUGGGUGGAGGAGCGGGAUCUGACUCAGGUUGGCACCAAGGGCUUUCUCAGCCUCUUGGGGGGAGUUAAUCGGAUCCUCAGAAGUGCUCAGGUGGCCUCCCACAGCCUCAAAGCUCAGCCCCAGCUGCCCCCAUGGUGCCUGAGGUCCUUAUCUGGAAAGGGAGCAGGUGUCUGAAAUUACCCCUUAGGGAUGGUGAGGUAAGAGCUGUAUUACUGGUACAUUUGGGGUUAUCUGUCACCAGUUCUGCCCUGCGUGGUGCAGGAUGAGUUAAGGUAGUGCUCUGUUAUACCCUGGCAAGCAACAGCGCAAGCCAGUGAUCAUUUUUAAAUGACUCCUGUGGAUGUAGCCAUGCGUUUAUUCACUGUAUGCUCCUUUCUCUUGGCCGGACAGCUCUGAGGUUUUGUGCUGUGGUGUGCAGCUCCUUGUCCUGCCCAGUGAGACUGAGGCAGGGCUGUGCUUACAGGAUGUGUUGAUGCAAUGUGGUUUACAGGGCUUAAUUUUAAAGAGCCUGUAUUGACCUCUCACUUAGGAGAGAGGCAAUAAGCUGUCCUGCUUACCGGUCAGGAUCUCUCUGGCUCUCUAGCCUUGGCACAGCACCCGCUGCGGUCGCGUCUGCUGCACAAAGGCAGAAGCUGGACAUCUUCUUGCAGGAGGCCUGGGGCUUUCAGGCCAAAGCUCGUUAGCUCUUUUCAACAGGCAUUGAAAGCAAAAUGUGAGCCUUUUAGGACUGGGAUACAUUACGUCUCUGAUGUUGGGCGCAGUGAGGUCUUAAUCCUAGAGACCUGAGGCAUUUCCCAGAUAGCCGAAGGAUUGCAGGGCUGCAAGACACGUCCAGGAGUUGGAGGGGUCAUGCAUGAAGGCCUGCUGAUGUGCCUACACUGGUCCUGACCACAGUUUCUCUUACCCACCCUCAGAAACCUCCUCCAACAGAGGAACCAAUGCCCCCUUGGCCGGGACAUGACGCUAUGCUCCCAGGCAUGGGGUGCACUGAGCCCAACUGAGCAGCGUCACAAAAAUGUCUUGAGGUAAGCUUGCAAAAUGGUCAAAACUUGGAAAAGAAAACAAAGUAUUUUAGUGUUUGUUUCUUUUUCAAAAUAUAUCAAUGUGUCCAUGAUGUAUUUUUUUCUCAAAGGAUCAAACAAACCAAAAGUGUUUCAGCUUGGGGCUGAGUGAGAUCUCUUUGAUUGGUCCCAAAUGAUGGUGUUUUGUUGUUCGGAGUUCCAUUUUCCUGAGGCUAGCAACAUGAUCGUUUGGCAUCAGUCACAAAAUGCUUUCAAUUCCUUGCCCAUUUGUGGUCUGAUGGAUCCUCCCUGCUUUCCUAGCACUUUGGGCUGUCACGCUGUGGGACCUCCACGUUUUCGGGGCUUGUGCCCUCAAGGCAACAAUUGCUCCAGGAUUACAGAAGCCAAUGUUUGCAGAGGCUCUCUGCAUAAUCUGACUCCCAGCUUGUUCCGAACAUCAUUCCUAGUCCCCCAUCAUCCAUCGUGAAGGAUUUCUACCCACUCAUACAAUGAAAAUAUUUCUCUUACUACAUCCUGCGGCAGCAAAAACAUCUGUUUAAAAGAAAAAAAAAUAUUUCUGAGAAGGAAUUUCUUCCAUUUUUAUUUAGAAUAGUAGUAGUAAUAAUGAUAAUGAAAACAAAAAUUAAUAACCACACAGGGCCAGUGCUAGAGGCGAGCAAAAUCACUGCAACUGCUGGCAGCAGCAAAGUAGCUGUGCCCCAGCUGUUUUCUGCCUUGCUUAACAGAUGUCUGGAAAGCCACUGCUGCUGCCAUCGCUCCAGAAGGCAAGAGACAAGGCUGGGGGGCACCAGUGGCUGCCAGAAGUGUGGUUCCUCUUAGCCCCUCUCCUGCAGGAGGUAAAAACCUCAGUUCUGGCUACUUUGCAAUGAAGCCCGGAGCUGCUUCCAUUUAGGCAGUGUUUUGCACCGAGGGAUUUUAUUGACUUGCACGAUCUGAGGACAGCAAGGCAGAGCAUGCCUUGGAGUUACAUCUCAAAGCAUCCUGCAAAAUGCGUUUUGCAAAAUACCUUUUUUAAGGAUCGUUCCCUUAAACAUGGGAACUUAGGUAAAGGGAAGGGUUAAUUGGCUGACCUAAAUGAAUGUACCAGGCCAGUGGCAAAGCUGACUGUUACCUUAGUCUUCAUUCAUAGGGCCAGGAGAGCCUGUGUUAGUCCACAGCAGUGUAUAUAUUACCUACAGAUAAGAAACAGGACAGAAAAUCAAUGUUUUUCUUUAUUUGUGCAGCAAACCCCAGGUAGUGCACCCCAGAAUGAAGCUCAUUUAUAAUAUGCCACCCAAGUCCCGGUGUCCCAAUGCAGGAGAAGUACCCAGUGAAUAUCCCAAUGUCUCUGUGCAGAACCUGCACAGGGAUGAAGAACAUCAUCCUGUCAAGCAGGGGGAGAGGGAAGGGCAUUGUGCAGUUAAGUGCAGUGUGACUUUGUGUGUGAUGUGUGAGGCUUUUUUUCCACUGAUGCAGCAAAAUCUCAAUAGAUGUUGAGCACAGGCAGGGCGAACAGCUGAUCUCUAUGUGAAUUUUGGGAGUAGCUCUCAGUGGGUGGGAUUUUCAAAAUUUGGGCUAUAUUUGCAGAGGAACAGAAGCACAGAGAGCUCCUGGGAAUUUAUCUGGACCAUUUCCCUUAGCUGGAGGGACUUAACAAGAUGGGAUACAUGUGGAUGGGAUGAGAAGUCACAGGCUCUAAUUAUCUCUCAGGAAAUUCAGGUUAAACAUUAGGAAAAAAACUUUCUAAUAGUGAGGACAGUUGAAUAUUAAUGGAAAUUGCCAUGGGAGGCUGUGCACUUAGCAUCACUGGAGGUUUUUAAGAACAGGUUAGAAAAACAUCUGUUAGGAAUGAUGUAUGCUGGAUGAUCCUGACUGGGGAAGUAAUAUGAAUUAAACGACCUCCCAAGUUCCCCUUCAUCCCAAUUUUCUUUUUCCUGCAAUGUUGCAUAGCAGCACUUGGCAGAUAAAUUAGCUUAUGGUGAUUUCAAUAGAUUUUUUUUCCAAAGUAGAUGUUUUUGAGUUCUCUCUCCAGUGUAGCAUGAAGACAUGUUUCAGUCAGCAAACAUGCAUGAGCAAAUACAUCUCAGAAUUAUUAAACUGGGAUGCAAAAGGUACACAUUUAUUUAUUUUUAGGAAAUACAUUUUCAAGAGGAAGAAGAGAGGAAAAAAUAAGGUCACCAAAAAAGAUGCAUCAACUCAGGGAAAUUUGUGGUUAAAUAAGGAAAAUAAAUCUAUAGUAAAUCAAAGGUUCUUGUCUUUGGGGAGAAAAGAGAGGAAAGGAGAGGAGAAAAUGUACAUGUCGUCAGAACAAAACCCUAAAAGAGAAAAAUUCCUAAACAAAUUAAAUUAUACAUCUAAUGAGCACAAACAGACUUCUACUUUGAAAAGAGAUUUAACCCAAUUCUUCAAAGAAACAAAACCCAGCAGUAAUUAGUAAAUGUUUUUAUCUCUUCUGGAUUAGAGCAUCCAAUAAAGCUCAAUUCCUAGAGGUGAUGUUUCUCCUCCCCAAAAUAAAAAUCAUUAGAAGAUGCUGCACAGUCCUCCUUCUGCUUCAGCCCAGUUAGAUGCCACUGAAGUUGGACUGCCUGGGCUGGGCUUAUUUUGCUUAGCAGGACGUCAGCUGUGACCAGCCCCCAAACAGAAAGAUGAGGAAAAGAACCUCAGGAAACUGGGGCUUCUCCCUUGAUGUUCUCAUGAGUUAGGAAUCAGGCCUUAAAUCCCGCUGGUCCCCAGUGUGUUGAAAUAAUUUGCAGCCGGGGUGCGAUGGUGGCGCGCAGAGCAGCCUUGGUGCCCCGUGUGGACGUGCAGUGAGGUGUGCGGUGAUGCAGGCUGUCUUGCUUUGAGGCGGGGGGAACCAUGGAAAGAUGAAUCACCGCCACCAGUAUAGGUCAGGGUGGAAAAAUACAGCUCUGGAAAGGUUUCCAAGCUACUUGGGGAAAAAAUGAAGAUCAAUGAAUGUGCUGCUGCCUUUGACUUUUCAGCCAAUAGAUGCGAUGCCUGCACGCUAAGCCAAGUGGAUGUUAGGAGCCCAGAUGAAGAGUGGCAAAAGCUGCCAAGCAUGUUCUCCAGCCAGUUCCUCCAGCUCAAACAUGCUCAUUGCUCCUCUAUGGAUUCAGGCAUUUCCCAGGGGGCAGCUGCUGCUGCUUUAGUUCCUGUGUUUCCAGAGACUAAGCCAAUCUGCUUCAGCAGAGGUGCCUGGGCUCUGAGCUGUCAGCAAGGUUCGUGUUGGUAGCAUUCAUUAUGCGGUAGCUGCUGCUCUGUCAUUUCCUUUUGCUAACUUGUAUUUUUGGCUGGCUUUCUCCCCUUCAAAGCCAGGGAUCUCUUUAGGCGACCUGUAGGGGCAGGAGCAGCAUGACAGAGCACAGGAAGGGAGACCUGCUGAGCCACAAGCUGCUGGCCAGGGGCUCACUUUCUGCUCCUCUUGUUGCCAGUCCCACCAGAGCUGGGAUGCUGUUUCUGAAUGGAAAACUCCUCGCUUGCUGGGAGUCACACAGAUGUAGCAUUUGUGCAGCUCAGCACCACGCAGGAGCUCGCAGUUUCCAUCAGGUAACAAAUCCCCCUGUCUUUCUAUCCUUCUUUCAUAAUUACAUCAUGUAGAAGUUAAUAUUUUUUUUUCUUCAGACAAAUACCUAAGCAAGAAGGUAUGUCUUUUGUUCACCAGUUAUCCCACAGAAUAGGUAAAAUUCUUCCAUGAUCCGUAUGCAUGUAUUUCUUUUUUCUAUUCCUAUUAUUAUUGAGAUAAAUUUUUGAGAUUAAGUGAGCUGAAGUCAUCUUGGGAAAGCUUAUUGUUAAUUCUUAUCAUUGAGAUAAGUUCCUGUCAUUAGGAAUGGUGAUAAUUAUUAGUAAUAGUGGCAAUAAUUAUUUAUGUAUUGGUAUGUGCAUGUGCACUGUGGUUUCGAAGCAGGUAAAAAUUACUGCUAUUUAACUGAGAUAAAAGUCACAAACUCAGCAGCUGCAAUCAUGGCACUGUUUAAUCACAAGGUAACAUCUUGUAAAACAUCAUCUUCCAAACUCAAGUGAAGGAUUGCAAUACUUUUCAAGCCACAGGCACGUGUAAGGUGAGUUAUGGAUUGGGACUGUCCUGGCAAACAGGCUUGAUCACGUCAUGUCUGAGAUGUACGAAGCAGAAGCAAUGAGUGAGAAAGCACCGUGGGAGGGGAUGCAAGGAAGAGCAGGCACUGAGCCUGGGCAUGCAAGGGGAACGUGUCUGCACGUUUUUUGUUUCCCAGUCACAACGUGUAGCCAAACCAGCAGGAAAGAAGUAGUUUCUCCCUGUCCUGCCACCUUUGUGGCCAAAGUAGUGAAAGUCAUCGGCUGCUUCACUGCAGCAGAUGUAAACCCACUGCUCUCCAAGUAUCCCAGGUGUUUCCAAAGCAAGGCAGUGUGCAGCCAGAGGAGCUCAAACCCUAAGAGCUGUGUUCUUCACUGCCACAAACAGUUCGGCAGUCGGUGGGGUUCAUCCCUGGCCUGCACUGUGCAAGGAGGCAGCCGGGACAGCCGCAGCCUUUGGUCCUGCAGUUAGUGUCUGGUAUGGAGUGGAUGUCUCGAGUGCCUGCAACUCCUUUUAUUUGUUUCUGUUUUUCUUUAAGCACCAUAGGAUUUUUUUUUACAUUUAUCAGACCAAAGAAGUACUACUUUUUGAAUUCUUGAAUUUUUAGUUUGUGAACAUGGCAAGAAAAGCAGCUCCCAGUAAAGGCCAUGAAGUCAGAUCCAAAAACAACCAAAAGCCUUCUCUUCUUCCUAGGCCAGCUGCAGACGGGCAGGGCUGGAUGCAGCCCCAGCGAAGGGAGUGCCACGGUUCUGAGCUCUGCCAGGGCCAGAGCUGGUCUCCAAAGCACCAACCUGGCAGGGAUGAGUGUGAAAAGUCCAGAAUUUCUCCAAACCCUCCUGGCGAGCAGCCAGCUGCCCCAGGCAACGCAAGGCCGAGCAGCCAGACCAGGUGCUGCCUGGCUGUGCCAUGCUCCUGCCCUUACUGUAUCAUCUGCGGAAGGCAGCGUUUCUGCCUCUGCUGCAGCGGUAGAUAAUGCUCUGUGCCUGCUGUUGCUGCUCUCCUAUAAUUACCAGAAACGCUGCUUUAAGAAGUUACAACUUCCUGGAAUGAUGUGAAAAAUGAACCGUUUAGAGCACCAGUGAGUAAUAGGUAAUUGCAGGCUGAAGCAUCUUUAAUCACUUUCAGCCUUAAGUACAUUUUUGAAGAGCGUGGCUCAUUAUUACCUUGCAGAUCUUGAUGGAGUUGUACAAUUCUGGUAGCCUAGAUUACAAAUGAAAAAAGAACUUUGUACACAGGGGGACUGGAUGGCAAUUCCGGCACAGCCAGGCCCACGGGGGACAGAGGUUUAAGCCCCUGCUCUGCUGCAGGCUUCUGUAUAACUGCAGAAAAAUCAGAGGGAUGUGUGUAUACAGAGGGACUGUAGUGCUGCAGUGGUCUCUUAAAAUCCUGGUGGUCCCAGUGGUCCUGUAAAAUCGGAUUCCUUAGGCAUAUAAAUAUGUAAUGAGAAGAGUGACCCCCGAGAGGCUGUGUAUAGGCUAAGAAUUACGUAUAGUAGCCAGCAGGAAAGGUUAAGACUUCGCUUGGUUGCUGCCUGGAGAAGGGUGCCAAACUUCUUCUGGGACUUUCUGUGGUCCCAGAUACAUGCCUUCAGAUCCAUAAAAUGAAGGUAAGUGUUAGUGCACAGGUAAAUACAUUGACAUGAGAAGCUCAACUGUAGCUUUCAAGUGGUAUACAUGCAGACAUUUAAUAGAGGGUGAAAGGGCCAUUUUCUUUUCAAUUAACAUCUACACAGCAUGUUUUGCAGGGCUUGGGCAUGCUCUGUGCCUGGGCAGUGCUGAACUGAGGAGGAACCGGUGCUGGUGUGUCUGACCUUCCUUUGUAGGGCAGUGCCUUCCCACGCCGUUUCUCAUCGCCUGCCCCCGUCUUGUCCCACUCCUGGCUGCUCUCCUCACCAGGGUGACCAGCAGCAGCGUGCACUCAGCCAAAGAGAUGUUUCUGCCUGGGACUUUGAAAGCGAAGAAACCACACCACCUGGCUGUAGUGAGGAGAAGGGAGGACGGCGUGCUCCAACCACAGGCAGAUGCCCUCAUCCCUCCCAGAGUUUUUCUAGGGGACAGGUCCUUAGCAAUAAAGAGAUACUGCGGUGCAACACUUCUCAGGAUUAAUCUGUCACCGGUGUCAAACCAGAGCAUCGAGGAUAUAAAUCUUCAGGCAACUUCUGGCCUCACUGCAGCCAGGUUAUGCAAUAUGUGAAGUACAUUCAGCAGCACACUGCUGGAAGUGGUUCUUCUGGAUUCUCCAUUUGUGUAAUGCAGGGUGAUGUGAGUAUCAAGGCAUAUCACUGAUCUUCUCAGUUUUGCCACAGAUAAUCAUAUGCACACAUAAAGUCUUUCUCCAGAACACAUCCAGGAAUUGCCUGCAAACAAACUUGAUGUUUGUCUCCCACAGGUAGGUUUUUAACAGUGGCCACAUGCACAUAGCCUCUAUGUUCUGCAUGCUUGUUUCAGCUAUCAAAAUCAAACGUGUCUAGAGUUCCCCCAAACAAAACAACCUCUCCAAAUUGCCUCAUACUGCAAUGUUAAGUCACCAAGUUGAAUUUCCUAGCUAGCCAACUGUGCUGUUUAAUUAGGGUGCCUUUCCAAAUCACCUUCAAUUGCACCGUUGUAACAUAUGGGUUGAGAUUUAGCCAUAUGGUCCAAACACAGAAACAAAGCACACCACUAAUUGUCUGAACACACAGAACCGCAGCACACUCAGCCAGGCAGAGAAUAUGAAGAGACGUCCUGUUUUGUAGUAGCACCAUGUUUAUUUUACUAUGUGACGUAUACAUUUAAAAUGAACAGAGGUCCAGGACUCCAGGAUCAGUUCUGGUCUCUGCAGUUCAUGGUCAAGCUAAGCAGGUCAACGCUAAUGUGAGUAGCUCUACAGGAGCAACAAGAAGUGCCAUAAGAUGCACAUGGAGAUGCGUGAUAACCUGAGCACUUGGUGCUACCGAACAAAGAAGAGCAUCAAAAAUGAAUCCUCUUCAUCCAUGAGAGGAAGGAGAUGGAAAGCCACCUGCAGAUUCCUGGCCAAGUCGGAGCACUUGCAGUAAGUUACCUGGGAUGGUGCAUGGCUAAGGUAAUCUCUCUCCCUUCAUCAGGAACAGACAGCACAAGCCCUGUUAAUCUCCUUUACCUCCUCAGGUAAAAGUCUGGACAUUUUCCAAAGGAUGCAGUUCCCUUCUGCUCAGAGUUUUUACACUGAGUGGUGCAGUGUUGCAAGUAAUUUUUGCUAUUUCCUAUAUUUAUGACAGACCAAAUCCUGCAGCCUUCUGCAGAGCACAGUCUGCACUUGCUUGUAGAUGCACCUUGAAAGUGGUGGUUGUAUUCAACAGGGAAAAAAUAACCCUCAAGCAGAACAUUUACUUUCCUUCUUUAUGCAUAAUGCAAGCAUUUAUUUUCUUCCAAUCUGUAAGACCAAUAAACUGGACUCGCUGAUUUCACUUUGAUAUGAUAAGGUAGCAAACAGGUAGUGAUGCUAAUAGAGAAGAAGCUGUUACUUCAGCUGAAUUAAUGAAAGUUUUUAAAAAGAACAUGAAGCUGUAUGCACCCCUAAGGUACAUAUAUCAAAAAAAUACAUUAAUCCAAGUAGGUUCCAGUCUAGUUUCAGGUAAGAUUUAUGUGCUACACAGAAUCAAGUUUGAGAUUAAGAAAAUGUGUAUUACUUACUUAUAUUGGGCUGUGGUUAUCAGAACAGCCAGAGGGUGUUUCAUGAAACUGGGUGUCAGUGAAUGUCUUGUGAGAAUUUUCUUCCUUAUUUAUUCACUUGAAAUUGUGUCCAGAGAUGCUAGUCAAAGCCAAGGGUCACCUAUUAAUAAGUAUUUGUAGAUCUCCCUGGCAAUGAUGUUAAGAACAAAUACCUUAACGUCACUUAUUUUUUACUAUGACAACAUAAACUGUUCUUCCACAGCCAGGAAGAGUUAAAUUAAUCUGAGUUUUAACAUCAGAGAAUUAGUCUUAUCUCAGAGCUGCUCAUUCACUUUCAACUCAUACUGGAGAGUGAUAUAAAACACUUGAUAUACCUUUCAAAAACAGACACUGUGUAAAAAUAUGGGAUUGCACUUGAGACAUUGUUUUUGCAAAUCCCUGUGCAUCCAUGAAAGAUUCUCCCCGCUGGAACACUGAUGUCCUCUCCUGGGCUAAGCUGAAGACAGUAGAAAGGUCCCAAUCUCAAGGUCUCCAGUUUAUCACCUUUUUUUUUUUUUUUUUUCCCCUUUGCUAUUAAACAGACAGAAGUAAACUAGGGAUGAAAACAGAAACCCAAGCUGUGAAGUUUGGCCCUUCAAGGUAGAUUAAAAUUUAUCUGCAAGGCUGCCAGCUAUCCUACAUUCAAAGGGUUAUGGAAACCACUCAGACUUUGGGGCUAGAGACCUUAAAUCCCCUUCCACCAGGAAAACCGUUGGCAUCACGUGCUGACCCUGUGGGCAUUUACAGGGAGCUGCAGCACAAUAACACAGCAAUGCUCCAGCCAUGCCAGAGUGGAGAAAACAGGAUUCUUCUAGCCUUUUCUUAGGUAUUUUUUUAAAUAACCCAUCUUUCACUCUCUUGCAAUCACAUUGAUGAGCUUCAUUUGUCGAAACAGCAGCUCCAGGUAUGCCAUGGGGCUCAAAAGGAGGAAAAAAAAAAAAAAAGGGCAAAAGCAAUAGGACUUCAUCCAAGAACUUCCUUGAAAUUCCAAGAACUUUCAUCUCCGUAUGGUGACUUAAGUUAUGUAGCAUCCCAGCUGAAGGCCAUAAAAAAGAAAUGUUUUCCAGGAAAAGCUGCAUGCCAGCAGUACAAAACUUAAAGAUAAGAUACACGGGGUAUAUUUUACCAUGUUAAUUCUUACUUGUCAUUGAGUCAGUUUCUUUCAAAAGUAAAUAACAAGACAUGCACAUAAAACAUUUAUGUUUCCUGCCAUGACAUGUGCUGAUGAAACUUUUCUUGCCUCAGUUCCUCAGCCACAGGAGUUGCAGUUGUCAAGAGAUGUAGGUCUUAGCUCCACAUUUCAGUCACUUCAAGACCCUUCCUCUGCCUCUUCAGUCAAUGUGAGCCAGGAAAGCAUCCUGAACAGGACUAAUGUUUAGCACCUGAAUGUUUCACAAGGUCCAUAACUGCGAGCAGGAUUUCAGUUAAUAACAGGUUCCCUCCCACUGACUUGGUUCCACAGCCAUGCACGGGUAACCCUGUAAUGCUGAUGCUGUGGAUUUUCUGGCUGAUUUUUGAUUUCACAGUAAUGGGUUUGUUCAAAGAGAAUAUAUUUAAUCUAUAGAUCCAAACUGGGAUUAUUAGGAAAGGUCACCUCCCCCCCGCCCCUCCCCGACUCUGCUCAUCCUCAUAGUCUCUCAUUUCUGUUUGACAUCAUCAGCAAAGCCUGAAUUUUAAUAUUUGUUAUAUUUAGGGCAGAUGUUCUACCCAGCCAGAAUCAAGGAUUAGGAAUUCAUUUUGUAAGGCAUUACAUAAAAAUAUAUGAAAAGUUGGACCCUGGCUCCAACUCUGUAAGUUCAUCUGAGCAUAACUGUAAAAGCAGGACCAGAAUCUAAAGAGAAGCCAAUAUAAUUGGUGCUAGUAAAUAUUUUUAUAUUUUUUUCCUUUUUUUUUUUUCCCCUUCCCCUGCAGGAGAGCUUCUGUACACAGAAAUAUUGAGACAGUGGAUGGCUCCUUUGCGAAUUCUGAUAUUUUGUACCAAACAAGAUUAUUGAGGAGCAAUAAGAAUGACCCCAGCUGUUGUCUGCUGGCAGAAACCUUUUAAAUGGCGUAAGGACACAGAGUCACUCAAUAAUUACAAGGAAGGAAGACCACAUAGCUUAAAGUGACCAGCUAGUAAUCAAUUCCUGCUGUGAAAAUUUUUGUCCUAGCCAUACAAUAUGUGAAGAAAAAUGAGAAGCAUGCAUAAAAAAAUCGGCAUUGCUUCAUAAAUGGAAAAAAUGAAAGUUCAUUCAAAAAUGAAUAAUGUAGCCAGCAUGAUAAGAAAUCCCAUUGUUUUAAAAUAAUCCCUA
Molecule: RNA transcript, 14662 nt
Organism: Cygnus olor (mute swan)
Lineage: Eukaryota; Metazoa; Chordata; Aves; Anseriformes; Anatidae
Exons: 5
Source: RefSeq, a predicted model, not a curated record